RNAcentral lists this ribosomal RNA (771 nucleotides) under uncultured Vagococcus sp. Its description in RNAcentral is "bacterial SSU rRNA". It matches the Rfam family "Bacterial small subunit ribosomal RNA", at positions 28 to 776 of the family's 1533-position model. The record is from RNAcentral. Lineage: Bacteria; Bacillati; Bacillota; Bacilli; Lactobacillales; Enterococcaceae.
GACGAACGCUGGCGGCGUGCCUAAUACAUGCAAGUCGAACGCACGAAGUUGAAGAGCUUGCUCUUUAACCAAGUGAGUGGCGGACGGGUGAGUAACACGUGGGUAACCUGCCCAUUAGAGGGGGAUAACAUUCGGAAACGGAUGCUAAUACCGCAUAGUUUCAGGGAUCGCAUGAUUCUUGAAGGAAAGGUGGCUCCGGCUACCACUAAUGGAUGGACCCGCGGCGUAUUAGCUAGUUGGUGAGGUAAUGGCUCACCAAGGCAAUGAUACGUAGCCGACCUGAGAGGGUGAUCGGCCACACUGGGGCUGAGACACGGCCCAGACUCCUACGGGAGGCAGCAGUAGGGAAUCUUCCGCAAUGGACGAAAGUCUGACGGAGCAACGCCGCGUGAGUGAAGAAGGUUUUCGGAUCGUAAAACUCUGUUGUUAAAGAAGAACAAGGAUGAGAGUAACUGCUCAUCCCCUGACGGUAUUUAACCAGAAAGCCACGGCUAACUACGUGCCAGCAGCCGCGGUAAUACGUAGGUGGCAAGCGUUGUCCGGAUUUAUUGGGCGUAAAGCGAGCGCAGGCGGUUCUUUAAGUCUGAUGUGAAAGCCCCCGGCUCAACCGGGGAGGGUCAUUGGAAACUGGAGAACUUGAGUGCAGAAGAGGAGAGUGGAAUUCCACGUGUAGCGGUGAAAUGCGUAGAUAUGUGGAGGAACACCAGUGGCGAAGGCGACUCUCUGGUCUGUAACUGACGCUGAGGCUCGAAAGCGUGGGGAGCAAACAGG